UCUUGCGAUGAGGCUGAACCAAUGACUUAGCGAGGCAAAGAGGCGAUGGGAAUUCCAGGCAGAAGAAACAGCAGGCACAAAGGCCCUGUGGAUGGAAGGAGACUGAUCCAUUAGAGAACUGAAGGAAGCCUCCCAGUGUGGCUGCAGUAAGAGGGAGAGGAAGCAGGCAUGGGGGCACCCAUGCAGGACCCUACAGGCCACAGGGAGGAGUUUGGCAUUUUUCCUGGGAGAAAAGGGAGCCCCCAGUGAAUGACAAGCUGGCAGGGCCUGGAGCAGCCCUCCAAGUGCCACCCUGGCUGCUCCAGUGCCCGAGCCUUGCUCACUUCCCUAGAACCCCAUCUGCCGGGCCACAGUUGGCAAUGGCCGGGUAAGCAGACAGAGCUACCUGCACCACCUGCUCUGGGACAGUGAAACGUCAGCUGCAGAGGCUCGCCCCAGAGCAGCCUCGCAGCUGGGGAUGAAGCCUGCCAGGGCCUGACCUCCAGGCCAGGAGUGCCUCCUGGGGGCUCGGCUGCUGGCUCCAGCCCCCGGUGAGGCCAGCCUUGCCUCUUCCUCCUCUCUGGAUGGAGCUGGGCUGACCCACGUGUGUCAGGGGCAGGGAGGAGAAAUGCCCAGCUCCCAUCCUUGCUCUGUCCCUUGUGAGCCGUGUGAUUCUGGAGACGUUAUUUACUUCCUUACUCUGGUUUCCUCAUCUGUGGAAUAAGGUGAUGCUCGGGUCCAUAUUCUGGGGUGUGUUGUCACGACAAAACAAGUGAAAAACCUGGGGCAGAGCUGAGACCAGGUGAGCAGUGUGGGAGAGCAGAGGGUUCUGGAGGCAGCCCCACCCUGGCAUGCAGAGCUGCCUUAUCUCCACCAUGACCUGAGAUGUUGCCUGAGCCAUCACAUGCCACUGAGCCUGUGCCCCAACAUCUGUCAAAUGAAGGAGGUGACCUUGAUGAUGAUAAAGAUGCUGGACAGUGGACACUUCCUAAAGCUUCAAAGGAUGCCUGGC
This 991-nucleotide long non-coding RNA is filed under the name Homo sapiens (human). Its description in RNAcentral is "HSALNT0363600". The record is from RNAcentral. Lineage: Eukaryota; Metazoa; Chordata; Mammalia; Primates; Hominidae.